Molecule: ribosomal RNA, 386 nt
Filed under: uncultured bacterium
Lineage: Bacteria
Description: bacterial SSU rRNA
Rfam family: Bacterial small subunit ribosomal RNA
Source: RNAcentral
GACGAACGCUGGCGGCGUGCUUAACACAUGCAAGUCGAACGGUAAGGCCCUUCGGGGUACACGAGUGGCGAACGGGUGAGUAACACGUGGUGAUCUGCCCUGCACUUUGGGAUAAGCCUGGGAAACUGGGUCUAAUACCGAAUAUGACCAUGGACUUCACGGUUUGUGGUGGAAAGCUUUUGCGGUGUGGGAUGGGCCCGCGGCCUAUCGGCUUGUUGGUGGGGUAAUGGCCUACCAAGGCGACGACGGGUAGCCGGCCUGAGAGGGUGACCGGCCACACUGGGACUGAGAUACGGCCCAGACUCCUACGGGAGGCAGCAGUGGGGAAUAUUGCACAAUAGGGCGCAAGCCUGAUGCAGCGACGCCGCGUGGGGGAUGACGGCCUC